CAGCAGCCGCGGUAAUACCAGCUCCAAUAGCGUAUAUUAAAGUUGUUGCGGUUAAAAAGCUCGUAGUUGAAUCUGUGUCGCACACCGUCGGUUCACCGCUCGCGGUGUUUAACUGGCGUGAUGUGGGACGUCCUACCUGUGGGCUUAGCCUCGCGAGGGGCGGCCCAACUAAUAUCCCGUCGCGGUGCUCUUUACUGAGUGUCGAGUCGGGCCGGUACGUUUACUUUGAACAAAUUAGAGUGCUUAAAGCAGGCUACCUUCGCCUGAAUACUGCGUGCAUGGAAUAAUGGAAUAGGACCUCGGUUCUAUUUUGUUGGUUUUCGGAACCCCGAGGUAAUGAUUAAUAGGGACAGAUGGGGGCAUUCGUAUUGCGACGUUAGAGGUGAAAUUCUUGGAUCGUCGCAAGACGGACAGAAGCGAAAGCAUUUGCCAAAAAUGUUUUCAUUAAUCAAGAACGAAAGUUAGAGGUUCGAAGGCGAUCAGAUACCGCCCUAGUUCUAACCAUAAACGAUGCCAGCUAGCGAUCCGCCGAAGUUCCUCCGAUGACUCGGCGGGCAGCUUCCGGGAAACCAAAGCUUUUGGGUUCCGGGGGAAGUAUGGUUGCAAAGCUGAAACUUAAAGGAAUUGACGGAAGGGCACCACCAGGAGUGGAGCCUGCGGCUUAAUUUGACUCAACACGGGAAACCUCACCAGGCCCAGACACCGGAAGGAUUGACAGAUUGAUAGCUCUUUCUUGAUUCGGUGGGUGGUGGUGCAUGGCCGUUCUUAGUUGGUGGAGCGAUUUGUCUGGUUAAUUCCGAUAACGAACGAGACUCUAGCCUGCUAAAUAGGCGUACCUUAUGGUAUCUCGAAGGCCCCCGACUUCGGCCGGCGGGUUUUUACUACCAACGUACAAACAAAUCUUCUUAGAGGGACAGCGGCUUCUAGCCGCACGAGAUUGAGCAAUAACAGGUCUGUGAUGCCCUUAGAUGUUCUGGGCCGCACGCGCGCUACACUGAAGGAAUCAGCGUGUGUUCCCUGGCCGAAAGGCCCGGGUAACCCUCUGAACCUCCUUCGUGCUAGGGAUUGGGGCUUGCAAUUGUUCCCCAUGAACGAGGAAUUCCCAGUAAGCGCGAGUCAUAAGCUCGCGUUGAUUACGUCCCUGCCCUUUGCACACACCGCCCGU
This 1165-nucleotide ribosomal RNA is filed under the name Camponotus ligniperda. RNAcentral's name for it is "SSU rRNA". It matches the Rfam family "Eukaryotic small subunit ribosomal RNA", at positions 568 to 1676 of the family's 1831-position model. Lineage: Eukaryota; Metazoa; Arthropoda; Insecta; Hymenoptera; Formicidae. The record is from RNAcentral.